RNAcentral lists this ribosomal RNA (492 nucleotides) under uncultured bacterium. Its description in RNAcentral is "partial 16S ribosomal RNA". It matches the Rfam family "Bacterial small subunit ribosomal RNA", at positions 29 to 507 of the family's 1533-position model. The record is from RNAcentral.
AGUGAACGCUGGCGGUAGGCCUAACACAUGCAAGUCGAACGGCAGCACAGUAAGAGCUUGCUCUUACGGGUGGCGAGUGGCGGACGGGUGAGGAAUACAUCGGAAUCUACUUUUUCGUGGGGGAUAACGUAGGGAAACUUACGCUAAUACCGCAUACGACCUACGGGUGAAAGCAGGGGAUCUUCGGACCUUGCGCGAUUGAAUGAGCCGAUGUCGGAUUAGCUAGUUGGCGGGGUAAAGGCCCACCAAGGCGACGAUCCGUAGCUGGUCUGAGAGGAUGGUCAGCCACACUGGAACUGAGACACGGUCCAGACUCCUACGGGAGGCAGCAGUGGGGAAUAUUGGACAAUGGGCGCAAGCCUGAUCCAGCCAUACCGCGUGGGUGAACAAGGCCUUCGGGUUGUAAAGCCCUUUUGUUGGGAAAGAAAAGCAGCAGGUUAAUACCCCGCUGUUCUGACGGUACCCAAAGAAUAAGCACCGGCUAACUUCGUG